CCUGAGAAACCCAAAAGAUCGAAUGGGGAGAUUCAUCGUCAGCUCAUUUUGUAUAUAUAUUAGAUAUGAUGUGGGUUACUACUUGUUAGUAUUGCCUAUACAUUCUUAUAUAUUUAAUUGCUUAAUGUUGUCGGCGUGCACUUCUCCCCUAGUAGAACGUCGCGACUCGUUUAGUGUCGAUCUACGGCUCAAGUAAUUGUCUUUAAUGUAAUUUAAAAAUCAUUAAAAAUUCUUGAUGUUUUCUGAUCGACUACUUGGCGAUAUUCAAACGGUAUUUAGCCGCAAUUUAUUAUGCGUUCAUGUCCGUCGCAAGCGAGGCCAAUUUUUUUUAUUUAAGUAGUACGGACCUAGUUGCCGUCGCUUAUAUUGGCCAGCUGUUGGUUGUACGGUGUUCUAGAACUGGCUAUAUUAUAAAAUUACCGGUCGGCGAUGCUACUGCUUUGGGUACUUUCAGG
This 455-nucleotide ribosomal RNA is filed under the name Bulborogas compressifemur. Its description in RNAcentral is "eukaryotic LSU rRNA". The record is from RNAcentral. Lineage: Eukaryota; Metazoa; Arthropoda; Insecta; Hymenoptera; Braconidae.